This 253-nucleotide ribosomal RNA is filed under the name uncultured bacterium. RNAcentral describes it as "partial 16S ribosomal RNA". It matches the Rfam family "Bacterial small subunit ribosomal RNA", at positions 524 to 776 of the family's 1533-position model. The record is from RNAcentral.
UACGUAGGUGGCAAGCGUUAUCCGGAUUUAUUGGGCGUAAAGGGAACGCAGGCGGUCUUUUAAGUCUGAUGUGAAAGCCUUCGGCUUAACCGGAGUAGUGCAUUGGAAACUGGGAGACUUGAGUGCAGAAGAGGGGAGUGGAACUCCAUGUGUAGCGGUGAAAUGCGUAGAUAUAUGGAAGAACACCAGUGGCGAAAGCGGCUCUCUGGUCUGUAACUGACGCUGAGGUUCGAAAGCGUGGGUAGCAAACAGG